Molecule: ribosomal RNA, 460 nt
Filed under: uncultured bacterium
Lineage: Bacteria
Description: partial 16S ribosomal RNA
Rfam family: Bacterial small subunit ribosomal RNA
Source: RNAcentral
CCUACGGGGGGCAGCAGUGAGGAAUAUUGGUCAAUGGACGAGAGUCUGAACCAGCCAAGUAGCGUGAAGGAUGACUGCCCUAUGGGUUGUAAACUUCUUUUAUAUGGGAAUAAAAUGUUCCACGUGUGGGAUUUUGUAUGUACCAUAUGAAUAAGGAUCGGCUAACUCCGUGCCAGCAGCCGCGGUAAUACGGAGGAUCCGAGCGUUAUCCGGAUUUAUUGGGGUUAAAGGGAGCGUAGGUGGAGUGUUAAGUCAGUUGUGAAAGUUUGCGGCUCAACCGUAAAAUUGCAGUUGAAACUGGCAGUCUUGAGUACAGUAGAGGUGGGCGGAAUUCGUGGUGUAGCGGUGAAAUGCUUAGAUAUCACGAAGAACUCCGAUUGCGAAGGCAGUUCACUGGACUGCAACUGACACUGAGGCUCGAAAGUGUGGGUAUCAAACAGGAGUAGAUACCCUUGUAGUC